UUGAAGAGUCGCAAGAACUUUAUUAUAUUGCUCAAGAUCAAAUCAUAAGCCAUUUUCUGUCAUUAUUUUUCUAUUUGCAAGUCUUUGACUAUGAGGCACAUGUAUCUGAAUCUGGUUCUUCUGUUAGCACUGACAGAGAACAUCCUGAUGAGAACAGUCUGCAGACCUGGAGAGAUAAGAAGCAGAGGAACGUGUGUAGAUGAGAAUGAGUGUGAGACUGAUCCAUCCAUUUGUGGAGAAAAUGCAGCAUGCUUCAACACUGUUGGCAGCUACUUCUGUCAAUGUCAUGAAGGAUUCACAACUCAUUCAGAUCAUAAUUUCACACAAUCAGAUUGGAUU
Long non-coding RNA from Carassius auratus (goldfish), 339 nucleotides. RefSeq lists it as uncharacterized. The record is from RefSeq and is a predicted model, not a curated record. The transcript is spliced from 3 exons. NCBI's taxonomy places the organism in Eukaryota, Metazoa, Chordata, Actinopteri, Cypriniformes, Cyprinidae.